Suricata suricatta (meerkat) is the source of this 259-nucleotide long non-coding RNA. RefSeq lists it as uncharacterized. The transcript has 3 exons. Lineage: Eukaryota; Metazoa; Chordata; Mammalia; Carnivora; Herpestidae. The record is from RefSeq and is a predicted model, not a curated record.
UGUAACCCGGCACUCCGAGGGAAGCAGCUCCCACUGCCCAGAGCCCACCUCACCGCUCAUCAGAUGACUCUGGUUUCUACACACGGUUGGAGUCCCGCUUGAAACCUGGAUUUAGAGGGGCUCUCUCACUGCCAUGACACUCAAUCAAAGCACCUAGAGUGGGCUGGCCGAGACCAGAGCGGGUACCAAGCGAACAAGUACAGAGGAAGGCACUGGGAGAGCCCCAGGAUUGGAAAUAGAGCAGCCAUUUGGAUUUGGG